Molecule: small nuclear RNA, 108 nt
Organism: Mesocricetus auratus (golden hamster)
Lineage: Eukaryota; Metazoa; Chordata; Mammalia; Rodentia; Cricetidae
Source: Ensembl
GUGCUUGCUUCGGCAGCACAUAUACUAAAAUUGGAACGAUACAGAGAAGAUGAGCAUGGCCCCUGUGGAAGGGAAUCACUGUUUUAACUGCACCUGCUGCCUAUGGUA